UGUUCAUCCCAUGAAUCAAACCCCAUGCAGUAGCAUACCCAACAAUAAUUCCUGAUAAAUGACCAAGAAAACUUGCUUGUGGUACAAUUAUUGAUGUAAAAAUUAAUGAUUCAAAAGGUGCAAAACUUAUGGGUAGUGAGAGAAACCCAAAGAGAUCCAACUUUGAGGAGGGUUGCUUUACGGAAAGAAUUGUCAUCCACCCAAAAAC
This 208-nucleotide unclassified non-coding RNA is filed under the name Hevea brasiliensis (rubber tree). Lineage: Eukaryota; Viridiplantae; Streptophyta; Magnoliopsida; Malpighiales; Euphorbiaceae. The record is from RNAcentral.